RNAcentral lists this ribosomal RNA (264 nucleotides) under uncultured bacterium. Its description in RNAcentral is "partial 16S ribosomal RNA". It matches the Rfam family "Bacterial small subunit ribosomal RNA", at positions 28 to 297 of the family's 1533-position model. The record is from RNAcentral.
GAUGAACGUUGGCGGCGUGCCUAACACAUGCAAGUCGAACGCUAGUAGCAAUAUUAGAGUGGCGCACGGGUGAGUAACACGUAGCUUAUCUACCUCCCAGCGCGGGAUAACGGUUCGAAAGAACUGCUAAUACCGCAUAAGCUCACGAGCUAUAGAGGCUGGUGAGAAAAGGCUUAGGUCACUGGGGAGCGGGGGCGUGCGGCCCACUCAGCUAGUUGGUGAGGAACGGCUUACCAAGGCGACGACGGGUAGGGGGACCUGAGA